GUGCUCGCUUCGGCAGCACAUAUACUAAAAAUUAGAAUGAUACAGAGAAGAUUAGCAUGGCCCCUGCACAAGGAUGACACGCAAAUUUGUGAAGCGUUCCAUAUUUUU
Molecule: small nuclear RNA, 108 nt
Filed under: Peromyscus maniculatus bairdii (prairie deer mouse)
Lineage: Eukaryota; Metazoa; Chordata; Mammalia; Rodentia; Cricetidae
Source: RNAcentral